This 253-nucleotide ribosomal RNA is filed under the name uncultured bacterium. Its description in RNAcentral is "partial 16S ribosomal RNA". It matches the Rfam family "Archaeal small subunit ribosomal RNA", at positions 474 to 727 of the family's 1478-position model. The record is from RNAcentral.
UACCAGCACCCCGAGUGGUCGGGACGAUUAUUGGGCCUAAAGCAUCCGUAGCCGGUCCUGCAAGUCUUCCGUUAAAUCCAGCUGCUCAACAGAUGGGCUGCGGAGGAUACUACAGGGCUAGGAGGCGGGAGAGGCAAGCGGUACUCAGUGGGUAGGGGUAAAAUCCUUUGAUCCAUUGAAGACCACCAGUGGCGAAGGCGGCUUGCCAGAACGCGCUCGACGGUGAGGGAUGAAAGCUGGGGGAGCAAACCGG